GGCAUCUGUGAUGAAAAUUUGGCUCUCUACUGAAACAAGUGAGGAAAGAUGCCUGAAUUGUUACUCAAAUCUUCUGAGAUGCA
This 83-nucleotide small nucleolar RNA is filed under the name Chelydra serpentina (North American snapping turtle). RNAcentral describes it as "Small nucleolar RNA SNORD100 (ENSCSRG00000004286.1)". It matches the Rfam family "Small nucleolar RNA SNORD100". From Rfam's summary of the family: The members of this family belong to the C/D class of snoRNAs which contain the C (UGAUGA) and D (CUGA) box motifs. Most of the members of the box C/D family function in directing site-specific 2'-O-methylation of substrate RNAs. The record is from Rfam by way of RNAcentral. Lineage: Eukaryota; Metazoa; Chordata; Testudines; Chelydridae.